RNAcentral lists this ribosomal RNA (468 nucleotides) under uncultured bacterium. RNAcentral's name for it is "partial 16S ribosomal RNA". It matches the Rfam family "Bacterial small subunit ribosomal RNA", at positions 28 to 507 of the family's 1533-position model. The record is from RNAcentral.
GACGAACGCUGGCGGCGUGCUUAACACAUGCAAGUCGAACGGAAAGGCCCUGCUUUUGUGGGGUGCUCGAGUGGCGAACGGGUGAGUAACACGUGAGUAACCUGCCCUUGACUUUGGGAUAACUUCAGGAAACUGGGGCUAUUACCGGAUAGGAGCUCCUGCUGCAUGGUGGGGGUUGGAAAGUUUCGGCGGUUGGGGAUGGACUCGCGGCUUAUCAGCUUGUUGGUGGGGUAGUGGCUUACCAAGGCUUUGACGGGUAGCCGGCCUGAGAGGGUGACCGGCCACAUUGGGAUUGAGAUACGGCCCAGACUCCUACGGGAGGCAGCAGUGGGGAAUAUUGCACAAUGGGCGGAAGCCUGAUGCAGCAACGCCGCGUGCGGGAUGACGGCCUUCGGGUUGUAAACCGCUUUCGCCUGUGACGAAGCGUGAGUGACGGUAAUGGGUAAAGAAGCACCGGCUAACUACGUG